RNAcentral lists this transfer RNA (76 nucleotides) under Cavia porcellus (domestic guinea pig). It matches the Rfam family "tRNA". Rfam says of the family: Transfer RNA (tRNA) molecules are approximately 80 nucleotides in length. Their secondary structure includes four short double-helical elements and three loops (D, anti-codon, and T loops). The record is from Rfam by way of RNAcentral. Lineage: Eukaryota; Metazoa; Chordata; Mammalia; Rodentia; Caviidae.
GGAGGUGUAGCUCAGCGCUAGAGCAUUUGCCUGGUGUGCACACAAAAGGCCCUGACCUCAAUCCCCAGCACCACCA